AACGAACGCUGGCGGCAGGCCUAAUACAUGCAAGUCGAACGCACCGCAAGGUGAGUGGCAGACGGGUGAGUAACGCGUGGGAACCUUCCUAGUAGUACGGAAUAACUCCGGGAAACCGGUGCUAAUACCGUAUAAGCCCUCCGGGGGAAGAUUUAUCGCUACUAGAUGGGCCCGCGUCGGAUUAGCUUGUUGGUGAGGUAAUGGCUCACCAAGGCUUCGAUCCGUAGCUGGUCUGAGAGGAUGAUCAGCCACACUGGGACUGAGACACGGCCCAGACUCCUACGGGAGGCAGCAGUAGGGAAUAUUGGACAAUGGGCGAAAGCCUGAUCCAGCCAUGCCGCGUGAGUGA
This 349-nucleotide ribosomal RNA is filed under the name uncultured bacterium. RNAcentral's name for it is "bacterial SSU rRNA". It matches the Rfam family "Bacterial small subunit ribosomal RNA", at positions 29 to 408 of the family's 1533-position model. The record is from RNAcentral.